UGCGGUUCCUUUUUGAGGUGUGACACAAAGAUAUGUUUAGGCAGUGAGAUAAAGCAGAAUACUUUUCUAUGGAGAGGAUUUUAACUCCCUAGAAAAGACCAUGUGCUCCUGAGGUGAGCAGGUGGGCACCAGGGCUGCUACCUCCCAUGUGGUCCAGGAGCUGACUGCUGACUACUGACUACUACUACUGACUGUGGAUGGACGUCUUGUGGCUUCUGUCUGAAACAAGAACCAAGCAAGCAAGCAUAGUGCAAGGGACAUCUUGAAGGCCUGCUGCUCACGGCAAGAUGGCUGGUGAAGGAUCUUCCUGACCAUGAACUGGACAAUGUUGAUG
Meleagris gallopavo (turkey) is the source of this 334-nucleotide non-coding RNA. NCBI's taxonomy places the organism in Eukaryota, Metazoa, Chordata, Aves, Galliformes, Phasianidae. The record is from RefSeq and is a predicted model, not a curated record.